GGGGAAUAUUGCACAAUGGGCGCAAGCCUGAUGCAGCCAUGCCGCGUGUAUGAAGAAGGCCUUCGGGUUGUAAAGUACUUUCAGUCGGGAGGAAGGUGGUAAGGUUAAUAACCUUAUCAAUUGACGUUACCGACAGAAGAAGCACCGGCUAACUCCGUGCCAGCAGCCGCGGUAAUACGGAGGGUGCAAGCGUUAAUCGGAAUUACUGGGCGUAAAGCGCACGCAGGCGGUUGAUUGAGUCAGAUGUGAAAUCCCCGGGCUUAACCCGGGAAUUGCAUCUGAUACUGGUCAGCUAGAGUCUUGUAGAGGGGGGUAGAAUUCCAUGUGUAGCGGUGAAAUGCGUAGAGAUGUGGAGGAAUACCGGUGGCGAAGGCGGCCCCCUGGACAAAGACUGACGCUCAGGUGCGAAAGCGUGGGGAGCAAAC
Molecule: ribosomal RNA, 425 nt
Filed under: uncultured bacterium
Lineage: Bacteria
Description: bacterial SSU rRNA
Rfam family: Bacterial small subunit ribosomal RNA
Source: RNAcentral